CCUACGGGAGGCAGCAGUGGGGAAUAUUGGACAAUGGGCGGAAGCCUGAUCCGGCCAUGCCGCGUGUGUGAAGAAGGCCUUUUGGUUGUAAAGCACUUUAAGCGAGGAGGAGGCUACUAGUACUAAUACUACUGGAUAGUGGACGUUACUCGCAGAAUAAGCACCGGCUAACUCUGUGCCAGCAGCCGCGGUAAUACAGAGGGUGCGAGCGUUAAUCGGAUUUACUGGGCGUAAAGCGUGCGUAGGCGGCUUUUUAAGUCGGAUGUGAAAUCCCCGAGCUUAACUUGGGAAUUGCAUUCGAUACUGGGAAGCUAGAGUAUGGGAGAGGAUGGUAGAAUUCCAGGUGUAGCGGUGAAAUGCGUAGAGAUCUGGAGGAAUACCGAUGGCGAAGGCAGCCAUCUGGCCUAAUACUGACGCUGAGGUACGAAAGCAUGGGGAGCAAACNGGAUUAGAUACCCUGGUAGUCCAUGCCGUAAACGNUGUCUACUGGUCCGUUGGGGCCUUUGGAGGUCUUUAGGUGGCGCAGCUAACGNGAUAAGUAGACCGCGUGGGGAGUCGGUCGNGAAGACGUUAAAACGUUAAGGAUUGGACGGNUGAGACGNGCGACGGACGACGACGAGGGAGGAGG
RNAcentral lists this ribosomal RNA (628 nucleotides) under uncultured bacterium. RNAcentral describes it as "bacterial SSU rRNA". The stretch from base 1 to 548 matches the Rfam family "Bacterial small subunit ribosomal RNA", at positions 338 to 873 of the family's 1533-position model. The record is from RNAcentral.